Long non-coding RNA from Monomorium pharaonis (pharaoh ant), 4891 nucleotides. RefSeq lists it as uncharacterized. The transcript is spliced from 3 exons. The record is from RefSeq and is a predicted model, not a curated record. NCBI's taxonomy places the organism in Eukaryota, Metazoa, Arthropoda, Insecta, Hymenoptera, Formicidae.
UACUAUUUUAAUAUUUAAAAAUCGGUGCAGUUUCAAAGAUAUUUUUAAUUUUAAUUUUUUGAAAAAUCUUAAACCUUUAAAUAUUCUGAUUGUUUACAAUUAAGAAUACUACCAACAAAUAUAUAUCUAAAUAAUUUAUAUUUUACCAAAUUUACAUGUACUUUAUAAUUUACACGUAUAAUUUAAUUUAUUUUAUUGUUAAGUGUUAAAUAAAUAAUAAUAUAUUUGUAUUGCAAUAUAUAGUUUAGACAAUGUUUUUUAUUUUUUUCUUCUCUCUGUGCGACGCGAUACUCUUUGAUUCUUCUAUUUUUGGAGGAAAGAAACGUCUUAUAAUUAAACAGCAUUUCCGUGCAUUCGACAAAAAACGCGAAUCCGACUUACGUACAUAUUAUAAAACAAUAAUUCACGUCUCGUCAAGAUAAAAACAAGACGAUAAAGCGAUCCCGAUAAAAACAGAUACUUUUUUCUUUAUCGAUUCUUGUUAAAUUACUCACUUUAAAGUAAAUGUAAAUAUUGUACCGCUAUUUUCUUUUUAAGAUUUACACUUUAAAUUUCCCAAGCGAAACAUAUGCCAAAAGAAGGUUUCAAGAAGUUAACUCAUAUUUAAAUUUAAUCUACCCGAAUAAAGUCCACGUGAUUUAUUCGUUUUCGCCUUAAAAAUUCACUGAUAACGAAAUGUAUUCCUGUUUCGCUUGACAUGAAACGCUCGACUCUAUUCAUGCGCGCACACGCGUGCAGCGUGUUCACAUCCGCGUCACUCUAUAUACGCAGUAACGCAGUUCUCGUCAGGGAUUCGAACGGUUUUUCGUUUCGAAUUGAGAUCGAGAACCGUCGCGCCGCGUCGUCGAGAACGUCAACACGGGUCCCCGUCGACGCGCGCGAAAAUUCCACACUCCAAUUAAUUGUAUCACUCGCACGCGUGUAUACGCAUUCACGACCCCGUCGCGUCGUCGACCCUAAUCGUCGUAAAUUUAAAUGAUAUCGCAAGACAGAAGAGAAAAAGAAAAAGAGGAAACUGAGAAAGACGUAACAAAUUUAUUGAGAGCUUCUCUUAUGCAAUGAACGGACGAGUUGAUUUUUAUCGCCUUCUCGGGAGGCGCACGCAUAAUUCCGCGGCCGCGACGGUCAUUAUAUCAUAUGCGCUGGCAACUACCGCAUUGGCGUAUUGACAGCGCGUUUCAUCCCAUUGUCACUCUACUCCGCCAUUGUUCGACGUCGGGACUCGCGGUGUUGACGGUGGUGAAAUGUAAGCCGACCGCUAUCAGCCGAACGGGAUGACAGCAUCGAGGAGAUAAGAAAACCGUCGUCGCUUCGUCGGUGCACAGUCACGCGUUUUAAAGGGGCUCGUGCACAGCGUGGUGCGAGGAACUUUCCUUCUCAUGCCAAGGGUGAUGGUGCCGGUCGCAGUGCCGGAUCCGAAUGAACCACGGGCCCCGUUGUAAGGUGUACGUUAGACAUCUGCUCAGGUUGGCACGUUGGCAGCGAUACCGGACGGACGCACGGUGCCGCUCGGGUGCGGAAGAGGGGUUCGGAAAGGAGAGAGGAGAGGGAAAGGUCGCGCGGCCGCAAGUACAGCUGCACCCGGCGACGACGUACGUACGGGAUAGCUGGAGGCCAAGCAGUGCCGACCUCUCUCACCCCCGAAUCUUAGCGGCACCAUUGUGACAUCAUCGGCGAGUUUUCGGCGGGUAACAACCGCCGAAUAAUUAUGAGGCACGAGCGUGGAUCCGUUUUCGCACGGUGGCAAUAACGGCCGUGAAUCCCGAGAGAUGUGCGAGAAGGCGAGAACCGGCCGAGCGUCGGCGAGCGACUUCCUGGAAUGCUCCACGCUUUCUACUUGCGACGGGCUUAAAUAUCUCGGCGAACGUAGCGAUACGUCAUCGACCGGCACGGCUGCACGUAAACGAAUACCGAACGUAACGAGUUUCCCCUUCCCCUUUCGUUUCUCUUGACGGACGUCCAUUCCUUUCCCAGGAUGCGAUAACUUUUUUUUUUCACGUUGUUCUAUUGCCCAUGUUUAUUUCUUUUUUUUUAAAUACUAAUCUUUUACUUUAAUUCCUACGAGAGAGAGAGAGAGACUUUCGCGAAUGCCGCUGAUGAUGACGGGGCAUCGUCGGGGCAUUUCGGUCAGGCCGCGCGGAUUACUAACCCAGAUAGUUGAAUCUGUCGAAAACAGAAGUUUUGCAAAGUGCCCGCUGCAAGUUUCAUCGGCCAAUAUAACAAAGUUUAAUAGCCGAUUGUGUCAGCAAAAUCCAUCCCGUAGCUCUAUUUAAAUAUUACGUUUCGUUCGAAUGAUUGCGGAAUGAUGGAAAUAUUCUACUCGGUCUCUGCUGGUGAUCUGCUGUCAGAUGACUUAUAUAGUCAGUAGAUUCUACUGGGGGGACGGUAUAAUGCGGACGCGCAGUUGACGCCAAUCUAUCGCGAUAUUCUACUUGUGUCCGCUGGCAUACUGUUAAUAUUUUGUUCACUGAGAAUUUAACAGACUCCCAAACAUAAAAUCAUUACUGUCAUUACGUAACGUUUUCAAAUAUUUACACAUUGUAUAUGUUUUUAAAACAUUUCGUGUUUCGAAAAAAAUCACGUGUAUCGACCAAUGUUUUUAAAAUAUUUAUAUAACGUUUCAAAACGUUUAAAAGUACACACACGGAGAGAAAUGUUGAGCAAAAUUUGAUUGAUGUGUGAGUAAUGAAAUUAUAUCGUUGUAUUAAUUAAAAAGUUUGUCUGUCCUUAUAGAAAUGUAAUAUUAUUGGGUAUUAAAAGCACUGCUGCUGUUAAUAUUUUUAAUAUUCCAAAUAAGUAAUAAUUAUUACCCAAUUUAAUACUGUUCAGUAUUAAAUUUUUGUAAAGAUAGUCAAGUUUGUUAAAAUGGCAAAAUUUUGUAAUUAACAACAAUAUUAUUUUAAUCACGUAAUGACUAAAGCUGUGGUUGCUAACACAAAACGUUUCUCUCGGCGUGCAUGAAAUCGACAUUUCUAAAUGUUACUUUUAUGUUUCUCGCUUACUUAGGCUACGAGCCCAUUUCAGGCUGUUUGUCACUUGUUUGCGCAAUUUCUGGCAAAAACCAUCUCUUCCGCCGCGUGUUCAUCUAAAACACGAUCCAUCUAUCGUUUUUAGCACGUCUCUUCUAAGUUUCCGACAAAUUUCUCCACUUAAGCUCGUCGUUAAUUUGAAAUCUCUCUAAAUUAGAACACUUGUUAUUAAAUGCAUUCAACAAUUCGAUACGGUUGUAACAUAACGUUUGCGAUCGUCGAUCAUCACACGAGAGUCAGAUCAGACUUGACUCUGUGCCAAGUAAUGGACAAGCGACAAAGUAAUGGAUUGGCGCAAAGGUCUGCAAACUGUGCGACAAGUCUCUGGCUUUUUUACCUUUUUAUAAUGUCAAUUUAACAGAAAAUUUAAUUAUCUCAAUAAACACAUACCAGUUUAUUUUUUAUUAAAUAAUAUAAUUGUUAAAAUUACUAUUCCGAAUACUUCCAAUUUUAAUAUUCCUUUGUCAAUAUUUCUAACAAUCAAACGGCUAUAUUAUUGUCACUUUUUAUCCGAUUUUACCAUUCUUUAUAAAGUGUGUAUGAUAUUUAAAAAAAAGAUUGAUUAUAUACAUAAAGAUUUUUUUUAAUGUAUUAAUUUCUGUUGACUGGGAAUCUUGUUAAUAGUAUUAAAAAUAACACGGGAAUAAAUCAUAAAUAUACUAACAUCAAUAAUUCAUAUGAUAACAUCAAUAUCGUACUUAUAUAAUUUCUUCAUUAUUUUGCUUUUUUUGCUUAUUUUUAAGUUUAUAUUAUUAAAUAAAACUAACUUUAAAUGUAAUAAUUAAAUAAUACGAUCGAGAUGAAAAAUCAAUCCUUGGACGCACUUUAAAAAAAUCUCAGAGAAUGGAAUGCCGCGCGUUAACGAAGUUCCACGAUUCAUGACGAGUUCAGGGACUUUUGGCGCAUUCCAGAGCACAAAGGGACUAUUAUUAUCGCGAUACGUCAUUAUUCUGACUCAAGCGGAAGGCUGCAAAAAGCAUAACAUGUUAAAAUAGAACAAAAUCAGUUGCCGACGUUCACCCUCCGUCUUUCCUUCUCCCACUCUCAGGAAUUAGAUUGAAUUCAUUGAAAUCUGUUCUCGUUAGUGACGAAGCCGGCUCGUGAAUUGCGGAGGACAUUACCUCCCAGAGACGUAAUAACAAAUCGCGGGACCUUGAGCGAAACAACGAGGACGAGUGUUCUUGUUGCAGAGAGAAAAAAACGUUAAAGAGAAACGAGGAGAGUUGGUAAGGAGGAAAGGCGAGAGAGAAUUUUAAAAAAAGAGAGGAGAAAACAAAAUUUUACGAAAUAAUUAAUGUCAACGAGAUUUAAUUAUUACGAAGUUUCAUAUUUAGUUAUUUCAAGUAUAUAUAUCAUACAGGGAGAAAGAAUUUAGAAUAAAAUUCUGCCGAAACUUCACAUAGAAGUUUCUCUAGAAAAGUUUAAUUGUUAGCGAUUUUAGGAAUCUCUCCUAAAUGUUCGUACACUGAGAAAAAAUGUUAACUUGACUAAAUUUUUCAACUUGAUUAAGACGAAGAGCACGUCUGUGGUGUCUUGUAAAUAGAUAAAAUAUGUAUGGCCAAAACUAUCCUACAAUACUAAAUUCCUAAGUUAUGGAAGAGGGCCAAUGUUUAUGUUUGAAUAUUUUAAUAAUAUAAAAUUGUUAUUAUUUUCUGUUUAAUGUCGAUAGUGUUACAUGCUUUAAGUUUCAGUAAAGUAUAUAUCAAAUUCUAUUAAAAAAUAAUAAAAAUAACAAUAUGUUUUGUUGCAUUUUAAAAAACUAUGGCAUCAUACCCAAGUUUACACUAUAUUAGCAUGUAAACACUUAUCGAAAUAUGCAAAUGUAAUAUAACGAAAUAUAAAAAUCAUAGUCUCGAGUCUUA